GACGAACGCUGGCGGCGUGCUUAACACAUGCAAGUCGAACGGAAAGGCCUGCUUUCCCUUGUGGAUUGCGGGUACUCGAGUGGCGAACGGAUGAGUAACACGUGAGUGAUCUGCCCCCAACUUGGGUAUAAGCCUGGGAAACUGGGUCUAAUUCCCGAUAGGACUGCAGGGUGGUGCCUGUGGUGGAAAACGAUUUUCUAGUGGUUGGGGAUGAGCUCGCGGCCUAUCAGCUUGUUGGUGGGGUAAUGGCCUACCAAGGCGGCGACGGGUAGCCGGCCUGAGAGGGUGGACGGCCACAUUGGGACUGAGAUACGGCCCAGACUCCUACGGGAGGCAGCAGUGGGGAAUAUUGCACAAUGGGCGGAAGCCUGAUGCAGCGACGCCGCGUGGGGGAUGACGGCCUUCGGGUUGUAAACUCCUUUCGACCGCGAGGAAGCCACCUGGUUGGAAGGGUGGUGACGGUAGUGGUAGAAAAAGCACCGGCUAACUACGUG
RNAcentral lists this ribosomal RNA (494 nucleotides) under uncultured bacterium. RNAcentral describes it as "partial 16S ribosomal RNA". It matches the Rfam family "Bacterial small subunit ribosomal RNA", at positions 28 to 507 of the family's 1533-position model. The record is from RNAcentral.